This 89-nucleotide transfer RNA is filed under the name Bacteroidota bacterium. RNAcentral describes it as "tRNA-Ser". It matches the Rfam family "tRNA". Rfam says of the family: Transfer RNA (tRNA) molecules are approximately 80 nucleotides in length. The record is from RNAcentral. RNAcentral also lists the same sequence under 5 other names. Lineage: Bacteria; Pseudomonadati; Bacteroidota.
GGAGAGAUGGCUGAGUGGUCGAAAGCGGCACCCUGCUAAGGUGUUGAGCCCUUCACGGGGCUCCGUGGGUUCGAAUCCCACUCUCUCCG